This is a long non-coding RNA of Pipistrellus kuhlii (Kuhl's pipistrelle), 253 nucleotides long. RefSeq lists it as uncharacterized. Lineage: Eukaryota; Metazoa; Chordata; Mammalia; Chiroptera; Vespertilionidae. The record is from RefSeq and is a predicted model, not a curated record. The transcript has 3 exons.
UAGAGCAGUGGUUCUCAACCUUCCUAAUGUCGCAACCCUUUAAUAUGGUUUCUCAUGUGGUGGUGACCUGCAACCAUGAAAUUAUUUUCGUUGCUACUUUAUAACUAUAAUUUUGCUACUGUUAUGAAUUGUAAUGUGAAUAACUGAUAUGCAGAAUUUGUUAGGCGACCCCUGUGAAAGGGUCAUUCGACCCCCAAAGGGGUUGCGACCCACAGGUUGAGAACCGCUGCUUUAGACUCUAGGAGAGAAGCAU